This is a long non-coding RNA of Mauremys reevesii (Reeves's turtle), 1254 nucleotides long. RefSeq lists it as uncharacterized. The record is from RefSeq and is a predicted model, not a curated record. The transcript is spliced from 5 exons. NCBI's taxonomy places the organism in Eukaryota, Metazoa, Chordata, Testudines, Geoemydidae.
UCGAGGCUGGAAACCUGCCCGGAAUGACUGGACGUGACGGGCUUGCGGCGGGCGCCGCCCGGUGAAACCCUCUGGGCGGGUGAGGCAGCUCCGAGCAUCAUGGCGCCUCUUGGCCUUACAGCUGGGGGCGGGGAGGAGACAAGAGACACAGAAAUCCUCGGUGCUUUCGAGUCCUGAUCUCCUGCUAUGCCCUUGGAAUGGUUGAAUCAGAAGGAUUUUGACUAAGAAACAAGACAAAAAACCAUUAUGCUGGAGAACACACAUCAGGAAUUUAAUGGUUAAAAACCACCCAGGAAUGCUGUAAUUACCCCAAGCUCAGGACAUCCAGAGGCAGGAAAUGUGCUGUAACCAGGUCGACACUUCCAGCUAGGACAAUUAUUUUCCAAUAGCAUCGUCCAAUCAGAUGUGAAGGUGGCAGUUGGAAGAAAACUAUAUGUGCAUAUACACCGCCAAAAAAGAAAGAGGUGAAUCUUGAGAACGAUGCUCGAUUGGCCACUGGGUGACCGAAGACUCGUGUUUACCCAGGGACCAGCAGAACCAGCAUGGACAGCAACAGCACACGUUGCCUCAUGCUGCUCCGGAACCCACCUCCAAAAAGGGGAGAGUAGGUCUGUGUUUCUACUGCCCAUUCAAUUCUGACUUCUACAGAGAGCAAGAGUCCAUGCUAUGGUGGAGACACCGGGAACAGGACUGACACCAUCUAGGUCAAUGAUCUAGCAGAUGGCAAUAGCUUUUAGUUGCUGUGCCAUCUGUGGCUGGAUUUGAACUGGUGACCUAGAAGUCAGAGGGUUUAUAUCCCAUUGUCUAGUCCUUGAACCUAUAUUUUAUUAUGAAUAUUUUAUCUAUUGACAAUUGAACUACAAUGUUAUAUUCUCCUAAAGCCUCUGCAACUCAAACACUAGGCAAUGCCAGACUGCAGUACUCUGCUACCAUUGAGACUUUGUAAUGAUACACUGUGCCAGAGGCGCUGGCUGGGAGAUGGAAAGAGUUGAACCAACUCAACCUUCAUUUUAGAGACUUCUCCAACUGCUUCCACUAGGCCAACUCUCUUGAGAUGCGCUGAAGCUGACUUCUGGAACUAGCAGCUUCACUUGGUCCAGAGGAAAACAGAGAAGUGGGAUAUGGGAAAAGAGUAGAGGUGGACGAAUAACAAUUUUUAAACUCACUGGCAAUUCCGAAAAAAAUUGUAAAAAACUUGUUUGGCGUCAAAACCAAAAUGAAAAUUUUCAUUGAAUCAAAAAGUUUUAAAAAAAA